AUGUGUGGGGGGUUAGGGAUUCAGACAAGGGGUAGGAGUACUUUUCCUUCUAUAACCCUUUCCGAGUCGAUUAGGGGGUGGCAGUCGACCUGGUUCUACUGCCAAGAUGUUCCGACUCCUGGUCAGUCGACUGGUCUUCCCCCCUUCACCAUGGAUCAAGUCCGCCAACCCACUUCAUUGACCGUGACUCUAGCAGAGAAAGGAGAGGUGUCGACGUUAGUUGACCGGAUAGUCCAAUUAGUCCAUGAUGGCGUGACUGGCAUGGAUUUGUUGGAGGUGUUUCUCAGUCGACGCUCUAGCCUCUCCAAGCCCGCGAUCAUCUGA
This 324-nucleotide ribosomal RNA is filed under the name Triticum aestivum (bread wheat). Its description in RNAcentral is "partial small subunit ribosomal RNA". Lineage: Eukaryota; Viridiplantae; Streptophyta; Magnoliopsida; Poales; Poaceae. The record is from RNAcentral.